UUUUAGUGGCGGACGGGUGAGUAACGCGUGGGUAACCUGCCUUGCACUGGGGGAUAACACUUAGAAAUAGGUGCUAAUACCGCAUAAGCGCACGGUCCUGCAUGGGACAGUGUGAAAAACUCCGGUGGUGCAAGAUGGACCCGCGUCUGAUUAGCUGGUUGGCGGGGUAAAGGCCCACCAAGGCGACGAUCAGUAGCCGGCCUGAGAGGGUGGACGGCCACAUUGGGACUGAGACACGGCCCAAACUCCUACGGAAGGCAGCAG
RNAcentral lists this ribosomal RNA (264 nucleotides) under uncultured bacterium. RNAcentral's name for it is "partial 16S ribosomal RNA". It matches the Rfam family "Bacterial small subunit ribosomal RNA", at positions 90 to 354 of the family's 1533-position model. The record is from RNAcentral.